RNAcentral lists this ribosomal RNA (435 nucleotides) under uncultured bacterium. Its description in RNAcentral is "partial 16S ribosomal RNA". It matches the Rfam family "Bacterial small subunit ribosomal RNA", at positions 30 to 507 of the family's 1533-position model. The record is from RNAcentral.
AGCGAACGCUGGCGGCAGGCUUAACACAUGCAAGUCGAGCGGGCACUUUCGGGUGUCCGCGGCGGACGGGUGCGGAACGCGUGGGAACGUGCACGCUGGUUCGGAAUAACGCAGGGAAACUUGAGCUAAUACCGGAUACGCCCUCUUGGGGAAAGGUUUACUGCCGGAGGGUGGGUCGGCGUUUGAUUAACUAGUUGGUGAGGUAACGGCUUACCAAGGGGGCGGUGAGUAGCUGGUCUGAGAGGAUGAUCCGCGACACUGGGAGUGGGACACGGCCCGGACUCUUACGGGAGGCAGGAGUGGGGAAUAUUGGACAGCGGGCGGAAGCCUGAUCCAGCCAGGCCGGGUGAGUGAUGAAGGCCUUAGGGUAGUAAAGCUCGUUUAUCCGUGACGAUAAUGACGUUACCGGAGGAAUAAGCCCCGGCUAACUUCGUG